UACGUAGGGUGCAAGCGUUGUCCGGAAUUAUUGGGCGUAAAGAGCUCGUAGGCGGUUUGUCGCGUCUGCUGUGAAAACUCGGGGCUUAACCCCGGGCCUGCAGUGGGUACGGGCAGACUAGAGUGCGGUAGGGGAGAGCUGGAAUUCCUGGUGUAGCGGUGAAAUGCGCAGAUAUCAGGAGGAACACCGGUGGCGAAGGCGGGUCUCUGGGCCGACACUGACGCUGAGGAGCGAAAGCGUGGGGAGCGAACAGG
This 254-nucleotide ribosomal RNA is filed under the name uncultured bacterium. RNAcentral's name for it is "partial 16S ribosomal RNA". It matches the Rfam family "Bacterial small subunit ribosomal RNA", at positions 524 to 776 of the family's 1533-position model. The record is from RNAcentral.